GACGAACGCUGGCGGCGUGCUUAACACAUGCAAGUCGAACGGAAAGGCCCUGCUUUUGUGGGGUGCUCGAGUGGCGAACGGGUGAGUAACACGUGAGUAACCUGCCCUUGACUUUGGGAUAACUUCAGGAAACUGGGGCUAAUACCGGAUAGGAGCUCCUGCUGCAUGGUGGGGGUUGGAAAGUUUCGGCGGUUGGGGAUGGACUCGCGGCUUAUCAGCUUGUUGGUGGGGUAGUGGCUUACCAAGGCUUUGACGGGUAGCCGGCCUGCGAGGGUGACCGGCCACAUUGGGACUGAGAUACGGCCCAGACUCCUACGGGAGGCAGCAGUGGGGAAUAUUUCACAAUGGGCGGAAGCCUGAUGCAGCAACGCCGCGUGCGGGAUGACGGCCUUCGGGUUGUAAACCGCUUUCGCCUGUGACGAAGCGUGAGUGACGGUAAUGGGUAAAGAAGCACCGGCUAACUACGUG
RNAcentral lists this ribosomal RNA (468 nucleotides) under uncultured bacterium. RNAcentral's name for it is "partial 16S ribosomal RNA". It matches the Rfam family "Bacterial small subunit ribosomal RNA", at positions 28 to 507 of the family's 1533-position model. The record is from RNAcentral.